This 252-nucleotide ribosomal RNA is filed under the name uncultured bacterium. Its description in RNAcentral is "partial 16S ribosomal RNA". It matches the Rfam family "Bacterial small subunit ribosomal RNA", at positions 524 to 776 of the family's 1533-position model. The record is from RNAcentral.
UACGGAGGAUGCGAGCGUUAUCCGGGUUUAUUGGGUUUAAAGGGUGCGUAGGCGGGAUGCCAAGUCAGCGGUAAAAAUGCGGUGCUCAACGCCGUCGAGCCGUUGAAACUGGCAUUCUUGAGUGGGCGAGAAGUAUGCGGAAUGCGUGGUGUAGCGGUGAAAUGCAUAGAUAUCACGCAGAACUCCGAUUGCGAAGGCAGCAUACCGGCGCCCUACUGACGCUGAGGCACGAAAGCGUGGGUAUCGAACAGG